This 1487-nucleotide ribosomal RNA is filed under the name uncultured Bordetella sp. Its description in RNAcentral is "partial 16S-23S ribosomal RNA intergenic spacer". It matches the Rfam family "Bacterial small subunit ribosomal RNA". The record is from RNAcentral. Lineage: Bacteria; Pseudomonadati; Pseudomonadota; Betaproteobacteria; Burkholderiales; Alcaligenaceae.
GGUUCGAUUCUGGCUCAGACAGACGCUGGCGGGAUGCUUUACACAUGCAAGUCGAACGGCAGCACGGACUUCGGUCUGGUGGCGAGUGGCGAACGGGUGAGUAAUGCUUAUCGGGACGUGCCUAGUAGCGGGGGAUAACUACGCCAGCGUAGCUGUGCCACCGCGCUCUCGAAGCGGGGACCUUCGGGCGGCCUCGCACUUUGUGGAAGCGGCCGAUAUCGGAUUAGCCAGUUGGUGGGGGCCAACGGCUCGCAAGGGGCGGCGACGAUCAUCGUGGUUUGAGAGGACGACAGCCACACUGGGACUGAGACGCAUUGAACUCCUACGGGAGGCAGCAGUGGGGAAUUUUGGACAAUGGGGAAACCCUGAUUAUCAUCCGCGUGUGCGAUGAAGGCCUUCGGGUUGUAAAGCACUUUUGGCAGGAAAACGGCGCAGGAUAAUACCCCGUGCAACUGACCACACCUGCAGAAUAAGCACCGGCUAACUACGUGCCAGCAGCCGCGGUAAUACGUAGGGUGCAAAGCGUUAAUCGGAGUACUGGGCGUAAAGCGUGCGCAGGCGGUUCGGAAGAAGGUGAAAUCCCAGAGCUUAACUUUGGAACUGCAUUUUUAACUACCGAGCUAGGAAAUUAUUAUUAAGGAGGUGGAAUUCCGCGAUGUAGCAGUGAAAUGCGUAGAUAUGCGGAGGAGAGAACACCGAUGGCGAAGGCAGCCUGGGAUAACACUGACUUUCUCAUGCACACAUGGCGUGGGGAGCAAACAGGAUUAGAUACCCUGGUAGUCCACGCCCUAAACGAUGUCAACUAGCUGUUGUUGGGGCCUUCGGGCCUUGGUAGCGCAACUAACGCGUGAAGUUGACCGCCUGGGAAGUACGGUCGCAAGAUUAAACUCAAAGGAACGGCGGGGACCCGCACAAGCGGUGGAUGAUGUGGAUUAAUUCGAUGCAACGCGAAAAACCAACACCUACCGCUUGACAUGUCUGAAUCAAGAGAUUUGGGAGUGCUCGCAAGAGAACCGGAACACAGGUGCUGCAUGGCUGUCGUCAGCUCGUGUCGUGAGAUGUUGGGUUAAGUCCCGCAACGAGCGCAACCCUUGUCAUUAGUUGCUACGAGGCGCCUCGUAGGACUGCCGGUGACAAACCGGAGGAGGGUGGGGAUGACAUCAGAAUCCCAUGGCCCAUAUGGUGGGGGCUUCACACGUCAUACAAUGGUCGGGACAGAGGAAUUCGCUAACCCGCGAGGAGCUGACCAGAAACCCGAUCGUAGUCCGGAUCAUGAUCUGCAACUCGACUGCGUGAAGUCAGAAUCGCUGGCAAUCGCGGAUCAGCAUGUCGCGGUGAAUACGUUCCGGGUCUUGUACACACCGCCCGUCACACCGUGGGGUGGGUUUUACCGAAGUAGUUAGCCUAACCGCCGGAGGGCGAUUACCACGGUAGGAUUCAUGACUGGGGUGAAGUCGUAACAAGGUAACUCUGUUACUGAUACUCAG